UGAGGCAGUCCCAUUUUGUGGAAGAUUUUGGGUUCUGCACUGUGUUURGCACAAGAUGGAACAGAGGAAGUUUCUGGUUCUGAAGCGCAGCCGUCYUUCAAACAUUUCUUCACACUCGAAUGGUUCAGCUCUGUGAUAUCCUGGACCUGGAGUGGCACUCCACAGAGCUGGUUGAUGCUGGAGAAGGACUCUGUUGCAGGAAGAUCCCUGUCAGUGGCUGGGCAUUCAGUUCUUCUUGAAAAACGAAAAUUUUGCUCUUUUGGAACGAUGGGCCUCAUUCCUAAGGGUCAUAAAUCAAGUCAAAGUAGCCUGGGGGAUUUAUACCAGAGAAUGAUCUGCACCACCAGGUAAAAUUAUUCCCGAAGGAAGAUUCUUGGUGUAAUUCCAAUGAAUUCACUGAAUAAAUGUGUCCCUUUAAUCAUAGAUGAAAUAAUCCUGCUUCCUCAUAUGCGAUGUCACCAGCUCRAAGAAAGAUUUCUAAUAUGCUCUUUCCUCUCUAUUCACUGCCUGAAUUAAAACUAAUAAGAUCCCUUCAGCUGAUUUCCUUCCCUUACCCAGACAAUAUUAUUACUUUGUUACUUUAUACUGCUUUUAAAAUGGGAAGUAAAUAUUUUGCUAGUAAAUAAAGAUUAGGCUGCUUCACGUACUUAAAAUCUUUACAAGAUUUUAU
Malurus melanocephalus (red-backed fairy wren) is the source of this 670-nucleotide long non-coding RNA. RefSeq lists it as uncharacterized. The transcript has 3 exons. The record is from RefSeq and is a predicted model, not a curated record. NCBI's taxonomy places the organism in Eukaryota, Metazoa, Chordata, Aves, Passeriformes, Maluridae.